GGGGGCGUAAGGGCUCGACGGGGUUUUUACAGUCGAUCUGCAGCAUGCCGAGAUCCCCGCAGUCUCGAAAAACGGCGGGAACACAAGUUAAGUGCAAACAACGAACUAGCUCUCGCGGCUUAAUUCCGCGACAUCCGCCGGACUUUUGCCGGUCAGGUACGGGUCGGGUGACGCUCGAUCGGAUGCCGCGCUCCGAUACCCGGUAAGGGCGCGAAAGAAACUCCGGGACGUGGAACGCCGAAACCCGGUCCACAGGGGGUUGGCGGUCCGAGAUCAAAUAGUGGACUAAGCAUGUAGACGCGGGCCGGUUGGAUUCUUCGGACGCGGGUUCAAUUCCCGCCGCCUCCA
Molecule: transfer-messenger RNA, 348 nt
Filed under: bacterium ADurb.Bin236
Lineage: Bacteria
Description: transfer-messenger RNA, SsrA
Rfam family: transfer-messenger RNA
About the family: Bacterial tmRNA, also known as 10Sa RNA or SsrA, is named for its dual tRNA and mRNA-like properties. Its role is to liberate the mRNA from a stalled ribosome.
Source: RNAcentral